UGAGGAUAAACCGCGAUAGGUCAUCACUUCUGGAAUGGGUAAUGACUUAAACCUAUAUGGCCCCUGGAUUGGACUGCGGCCGAUCAGGCUGUUGGUGAGGUAAUGGCCCACCAAACCCGUAACCGGUACGGGCUCUGAGAGGAGGAGCCCGGAGAUGGGCACUGAGACAAGGGCCCAGGCCCUAUGGGGCGCAGCAGGCGCGAAACCUCUGCAAUAGGCGAAAGCUUGACAGGGUUACUCUGAGUGAUUUCCGUUAAGGAGAUCUUUUGGCACCUCUAAAAAUGGUGCAGAAUAAGGGGUGGGCAAGUCUGGUGUCAGCCGCCGCGGUAAUACCAGCACCCCGAGUGGUCGGGACGUUUAUUGGGCCUAAAGCAUCCGUAGCCGGCUCUAUAAGUCUUCCGUUAAAUCCACCUGCUUAACAGAUGGGCUGCGGAAGAUACUAUAGAGCUAGGAGGCGGGAGAGGCAAGCGGUACUCGAUGGGUAGGGGUAAAAUCCGUUGAUCCAUUGAAGACCACCAGUGGCGAAGGCGGCUUGCCAGAACGCGCUCGACGGUGAGGGAUGAAAGCUGGGGGAGCAAACCGGAUUAGAUACCCGGGUAGUCCCAGCUGUAAACGAUGCAGACUCGGUGAUGAAUUGGCUUAUUGCUAAUUCGGUGCCGCAGGGAAGCCGUUAAGUUUGCC
RNAcentral lists this ribosomal RNA (681 nucleotides) under uncultured crenarchaeote TREC16-18. RNAcentral describes it as "bacterial SSU rRNA". It matches the Rfam family "Archaeal small subunit ribosomal RNA", at positions 141 to 825 of the family's 1478-position model. Lineage: Archaea; Thermoproteati; Thermoproteota. The record is from RNAcentral.